ACGACCCCAGGUCAGUCGGGACUACCCGCUGAGUUUAA
This 38-nucleotide ribosomal RNA is filed under the name Imperata brevifolia. RNAcentral's name for it is "partial 26S ribosomal RNA". Lineage: Eukaryota; Viridiplantae; Streptophyta; Magnoliopsida; Poales; Poaceae. The record is from RNAcentral.